Small nuclear RNA from Physeter macrocephalus (sperm whale), 126 nucleotides. The record is from Ensembl. Lineage: Eukaryota; Metazoa; Chordata; Mammalia; Artiodactyla; Physeteridae.
GUGUUGUAUGAAAGGAGAGAAGUUUAGCACUGCUCUCGACAAGGAUGGAAGACGCUCUCGGGCCUGACAACACGCAUAUGGUUAAGGCACUGCCACCUACUUUGUGGCAUCUAACCAUUUUUUUUU